RNAcentral lists this ribosomal RNA (497 nucleotides) under uncultured bacterium. RNAcentral describes it as "partial 16S ribosomal RNA". It matches the Rfam family "Bacterial small subunit ribosomal RNA", at positions 28 to 507 of the family's 1533-position model. The record is from RNAcentral.
GAUGAACGCUGGCGGCGUGCCUAAUACAUGCAAGUCGAGCGAACGGACGAGAAGCUUGCUUCUCUGAUGUUAGCGGCGGACGGGUGAGUAACACGUGGAUAACCUACCCAUAAGACUGGGAUAACUUCGGGAAACCGUAGCUAAUACCGGAUAAUAUUUUGAACCGCAUGGUUCAAAAGUGAAAGACGGUCUUGCUGUCACUUAUAGAUGGAUCCGCGCUGCAUUAGCUAGUUGGUAAGGUAACGGCUUACCAAGGCAACGAUGCAUAGCCGACCUGAGAGGGUGAUCGGCCACACUGGAACUGAGACACGGUCCAGACUCCUACGGGAGGCAGCAGUAGGGAAUCUUCCGCAAAGGGCGAAAGCCUGACGGAGCAACGCCGCGUGAGUGAUGAAGGUCUUCGGAUCGUAAAACUCUGUUAUUAGGGAAGAACAUAUGUGUAAGUAACUGUGCACAUCUUGACGGUACCUAAUCAGAAAGCCACGGCUAACUACGUG